AGUCGAGCGGGGAAGGUAGCUAGCUACCUGACCUAGCGGCGGACGGGUGAGUAAUGCUUAGGAAUCUGCCUAUUAGUGGGGGACAACAUUCCGAAAGGAAUGCUAAUACCGCAUACGCCCUACGGGGGAAAGCAGGGGAUCUUCGGACCUUGCGCUAAUAGAUGAGCCUAAGUCAGAUUAGCUAGUUGGUGGGGUAAAGGCCUACCAAGGCGACGAUCUGUAGCGGGUCUGAGAGGAUGAUCCGCCACACUGGGACUGAGACACGGCCCAGACUCCUACGGGAGGCAGCAGUGGAGAAUAUUGGACAAUGGGCGAAAGCCUGAUCCAGCCAUGCCGCGUGUGUGAAGAAGGCCUUUUGGUUGUAAAGCACUUUAAGCGAGGAGGAGGCUACUUAGAUUAAUACUCUAGGAUAGUGGACGUUACUCGCAGAAUAAGCACCGGCUAACUCUGUGCCAGCAGCCGCGGUAAUACAGAGGGUGCGAGCGUUAAUCGGAUUUACUGGGCGUAAAGCGUGCGUAGGCGGCUUUUUAAGUCGGAUGUGAAAUCCCUGAGCUUAACUUAGGAAUUGCAUUCGAUACUGGGAAGCUAGAGUAUGGGAGAGGAUGGUAGAAUUCCAGGUGUAGCGGUGAAAUGCGUAGAGAUCUGGAGGAAUACCGAUGGCGAACGCAGCCAUCUGGCCUAAUACUGACGCUGAGGUACGAAAGCAUGGGGAGCAAACAGGAUUAGAUACCCUGGUAGUCCAUGCCGUAAACGAUGUCUACUAGCCGUUGGGGCCUUUGAGCUUUAGUGGCGCAGCUAACGCGAUAAGUAGACGCCUGGGGGAGUACGGUCGCAGACUAAAACUCAAAUGAUUGACGGGGGCCCGCACAGCGGUGGAGCAUG
Molecule: ribosomal RNA, 882 nt
Filed under: uncultured bacterium
Lineage: Bacteria
Description: bacterial SSU rRNA
Rfam family: Bacterial small subunit ribosomal RNA
Source: RNAcentral